This is a long non-coding RNA of Homo sapiens (human), 3752 nucleotides long. Ensembl annotates it as ZFHX4 antisense RNA 1. Its record names the gene ZFHX4-AS1. The record is from Ensembl. Lineage: Eukaryota; Metazoa; Chordata; Mammalia; Primates; Hominidae.
AGUGUCAAUCCACCAUCUUCUGCCAGUGAACUUGUCUUUGGGUUUUUGUUUGGUGUGUGUGUGGGGGGGGAUGUUGUUGUGUGUGUGUGUAUGUGUGUGUGUGCUUUUUUUGGAAGGGGGGAGGGGAAAGACAAAGUGGGGGCCGGAGGUGGGGGGAAGAGUAGGGAGAAUGUGUGUCUGUGAGUGUGUGUUGAGUGUGAGUGUGUCUCUGUGUGUGUAGGGGUCGAGGUGGGGGGGGUCCGUGUUUGCGAUCUGAACCUUUGGUACCUACAAGGAGGGUGUCUCACCGAACGGUAGCUAAAACCUCACCAGAACCGCGCGGAAGUGAGAAGUCGCGGCCAAAGGCGCCCGCAGAAGCCUCCUCUCUGGGCCGGACCCCAGCCCGAGCGGCCGAAAGGAGCCCCCCGCCCGGAUCACAGCUGCUGCAGCUGCCGCUGAAAUUCGCUGUGGCCGCUGCCUCUUCCCGCUUUAAUCCCAGACCUCCAGUCAUUGGGCAGCUCCUCAGAGGCAAGAAGUCAACACCAUGGCAACCCGACAAGCCUAUCAAAUCACCGGCUGGCGUGACAGCAGCAACACUGCAGGCAGGAGUGGGCUGGGCGGAAGAGCAGAGUGGCCACUGCGCUCAGAAGUUUACAAGGAAAGGGGAAAUGUCUGAAAUGGAGAUUGCACAAUCCUGUCUUGAAGCAGAAGACUCAGCUAGAGCACAUCUGGAAACACCUGGCACUCCUCAAUAGAAUUCAAAUGCUAUUUUAAAAGAGUCCAUUUCUAAGAAGAUGUGGUUCGAACAUACAGAGCUACAUAAUAUGAGUAAAAUAGGACCUAACAGUAGUGUUCUCCAGCAUUGCUCUGCCUUUCCUUUUCUGGAUGUAACAACAUUACUAAGAAAGGAAGAAAAAGCAAAAAUCUGCUCUCGGGGAGAUUCCAGAAUGUUGGAAAGCCCCAAAUGGAAGUCUCUGCUUUGGUUACAGGACAUAAGGUUUAAUAAAUAAAAAGAUGCUCAUCUGGGAUGCUGCACCAAUUAUCAUGUACUAAAUAAGGUUACCUACUUCACUCUCCAGGUAGAAAUGUCUAUCAUAAGCAUGUGCCACAGAAGGUCUCUCAAGUAUCAUUAUUGGCUGUGUUGAAUUUUGUUUUUAGUUCUCUUUUAUAAGGUCUGUAGUCUUACUUUCAGUGAGGAAGUGUUUUCUCAGGUUCUCAAGAAAGUAACAAAAUGCCAGCAUUGUCAAGGUCACCAUUGCCACUGAAUUAUCUUACUGUCUGAUUAUUCCAUCUUCCUCUGCAUCAUAUUAGCCUGAUGACUACAUUCUAAUUAUUUAAAGCGUUAUGUAAAUCAAAGCAGUAAAUGUAAUUUCUAGUCUUACUAGAUAUCAUGUACAUUAGGUCGAAUAACUCUAGAAAUGUCGUCAUAAUCAUGUCAUGCCUAAUGAUGACCUACUCAGCCCCUGCCAACAUCAUUCAAUUACUCAUUUCAGUAUUGAUUUUUCUCAUGCCUCUCUUCGUGGCAUUUAAACAGCCCUCACAUCUCCCCUUUUACUGAGGUGUAAUGUUGUAUAAUGACAGAGAUGCUUUGCUUCCCAGAUUCAUAAUGUUACACUCUGUUUCAAAUCCUUUUGGAGACAAAUUGGGGAAUCAAUAUAUAAAUAAUGACACACUUAUUUUUAAUUAAAAUCACUGCUUUCACAGAAAUGGUAUAUUAAAAUUAUUUUUGCUAAAAAAAUUUUAAAUACCUAUGUACGAUAAAAAGACUGCCAAUCCUUGGGAUCAAGAAUAUAAUUUGCCCCAAAUAACUUUUCUGUAAAAGUAGAAUUCUUAAUGGAAAAUAGAUUAAUACAUAUAAUUUCAAGAUCUAACCUUAAAAAUGGAAAUAAUGUGUCCAUUUUUAAAAAUAAAUCAUAUUUACAUACACUGUGUUUAUGAGAGUUGUUUUGGAAUGAAACUUCUUUGCAUUUGAGAUCAAAUUCUUUUAUUCACAAGAAUUACAUUAUCUUUUUCAGCUGAAUGUUAUGUUAUACUCUUCCAAAAUCUAUUUUCCCUGCACUCAAGUAGCGGUAAAUAUUCUUUUUUUUUUCUGGAAAUUGAUAGUCUAAUUUUCUCCUGCCUCUCUUUGGCACACCCUCAUUUUGCAUGAGAUAUGCUCCUUAAUAAAAUUUCUACUCAAUAUUACAGAAACUUCCAGAAAUGGCAUCUAAAAUAUUACACUGGCCCGUUUAACUUCACCUUCACUAAUUGCAAUACAUUAUACAAAGAGCACUGUGGACAAAGGUGGAAUAUUUAACUAACUGGAUUUGGUUUCACAAACAGUAAUAAGACUUUUAAAAACAUUAUUAGAGCAUUUAUUUCAUCUCCUUUGCAAUAUAUUUUUCUUCCUUUUAAACUAGGCUUUCUAAAUUCUCAUUUUUAAUGUUUCAGUUGAAAGAACUUUCACAAGCCUUUAAAAGACAUUAUGAUUUGAAUUAUUCUUGCCUAGAAAAUUACUUCUGAUGUUUAACUUACAUUCUCCUUUAUUCAAUUGUAGCUUCAAACUAUCUUAGAAAAUUAAUUUGUCUUAUAAUUUUCCCCUUAAAUCAUUGUAGGUAAUCUCAAUAUUUUAUCUUUCCAAGCACACAUAGUACUAUUUAAAUUUCCAGAAAAUCUGAAGAUAACUAAGAUUUCCUUUAACUUUUCAUGUUUGAUGAAAUGAUGCAGAUAUUCUCAUUUAAGUAGUGAACCCUAAUCUCAUAAAAAAAGUAAGAAUAUCCCAUAGGAACUUUAAAUUGUUGUACAUUUUUCCUGUUCAUGUAAUAUAUUUUCAUUUGGUUUCUAAAACUCAUUUCAAACACUCCCAUCAACACACUCCAAUCAAAAACUUGUUUCAAACACACUCAAUCAACAAAAUGGAGGUGUUGCUUUUCUUCUCUAAGCUUGAUGCCAAGAUUCUAACCUGGACAUUUUCCUUCAAGUUUCCUUUUUCCUCAGCCACAUCACACAUUUAAUCUAACACUAGUCCAAAAUGUAAUCUGAAUUCAUCCACAUAUUUUUAUCUCUACUGCCACCACCCUUGUGCAGGCCACCAUUAUUUCUUGCCUGAGCUUUCAUCAUUGUCUUUUAUCAGGUCUCUCUGCUUCCAUUCUCAAACCCUUUCUAAUUUAUUUUUCACAAAGCAGCCAGAAUGAUCUUUUAAACACAUAAGUCACAUCAUGUCACUACCCACAUUAAAUCUUCCUAAGAUUUUCCCAUUCUACCCAGAAUACAGUGUAAAUUGCUAAGUUUAGUAGCUCAUGCCUGUCUUUCCAACCUGAUGUGAUAUCACACCCACAUUCUCCCUGGCCAUCCCCACCAACAUUACCCAGUACUAGGCUCCAACCACAAUGCUUUCCUCUCAUCUGUGAGCAAGCUAAACCCUUUUGACAUCAGGGUCUUUUAACUUUCUGUUCCUUAUACCUAAUUCUCUUCUCCACAUUCUUUGCAUGGCUUCCCCUUUCCCUUCUCUGAGUCUCAGCUUAAACGAAACUUAUUCAGAGAGUCUUGCCCUAACCACCAUAACAAAAGUUGGACUCUCCCUUAAUAUAUCAUCUAUAUUUUAUUAUAGCACCUCUCACAAUAUAUAAUUGCUUGCAUAAUUUAAUAAUUUUUUAUUUUUUUCUUGCUUCUGGCAGAAUAUAAGCUCCAGUGCCAUAAACAGCCAUUUCUCCAGAGAACCCAGAUUCCUUUUAGUGGGAAAUGGUAUUUAGAAAUCAAGUUCUGGAUGUCAGGUGUGCACAUGGCUAGGGAGG